RNAcentral lists this ribosomal RNA (243 nucleotides) under uncultured bacterium. RNAcentral's name for it is "partial small subunit ribosomal RNA". It matches the Rfam family "Bacterial small subunit ribosomal RNA", at positions 26 to 285 of the family's 1533-position model. The record is from RNAcentral.
AGAAUCAACGCUGGCGGCGUGCCUAACACAUGCAAGUCGAACGAGAAAGUGGAGCAAUCCAUGAGUAAAGUGGCGCACGGGUGAGUAACACGUGACUAACCUACCCUUGAGUGGGGAAUAACUGAGGGAAACCUUGGCUAAUACCGCAUAAUACCUACGGGUCAAAGGAGCAAUUCGCUUAAGGAGGGGGUCGCGGCAGAUUAGCUAGUUGGCGGGUAAUGGCCCACAAGGCAGUGAUCUGUA